UAGGGAAUCUUCCACAAUGGACGCAAGUCUGAUGGAGCAACGCCGCGUGAGUGAAGAAGGUCUUCGGAUCGUAAAACUCUGUUGUUAGAGAAGAACACGAGUGAGAGUAACUGUCAUUCGAUGACGGUAUCUAACCAGCAAGUCACGGCUAACUACGUGCCAG
This 163-nucleotide ribosomal RNA is filed under the name uncultured bacterium. Its description in RNAcentral is "partial 16S rRNA". It matches the Rfam family "Bacterial small subunit ribosomal RNA", at positions 355 to 511 of the family's 1533-position model. The record is from RNAcentral.